This is a long non-coding RNA of Rhododendron vialii, 1101 nucleotides long. RefSeq lists it as uncharacterized. NCBI's taxonomy places the organism in Eukaryota, Viridiplantae, Streptophyta, Magnoliopsida, Ericales, Ericaceae. The record is from RefSeq and is a predicted model, not a curated record. The transcript has 4 exons.
UUGGCCGACUAAACAUUUAGUCGGCGAAGAGAAAGUUUUGGCGUCCAGUUCAAAAUUUCACGAAAAUGUUGGCGGGGCUUGGCUAAUCUUGGACUACUAUUUUUGUCGGCAAUUGGUUUCCUUUAGCAAAACGACAGCGUCUUGCAACACACCUAAUGGAGUAAUACGCUUCCCCUCUCCUCUAAAAGAGUUAUACGCUUCCCCUCCCCUUUUCUCUUCCACCACAUCCCUCCCUCUCUCUUCCUCUUCCUCCCACCACCGAAGCUACUGUUGUCGGACAAAGCACCACGGACGCCACAACUAAAGCCAGUCCUUUUCUCCCCGACUCCAAUCUCUCACUCUUCGUAAGUUGAACCUUCAGUAAAGUGGCAGCGUGUGCGAGGGCCCACUAGUUGAAAGAGGCCAUAGUACAAGCUGUUUAGAAACUAAGAGUGUAAGUGCAUAAAUUGAAGUUGUUAGGACUUCCAAAAAUAGCGUGACAAGGAGCAAAGACAACGGGAAGAGCAGCAAAGGCAAAGAGAUGAGGAGCUAAGGCUAAGAGAUGAGCAAAGGCAACGUGAAUUUGAUGAACUCAAAGCCAUGAUGAUGAGGCAAAUGCAUGGAUGAGACAAUGUGUGAACGAGGUGAUGGUGGAAAAUAUUCGAUAUUGGAGUAUCUAGCAUCUUGUCAAGGACUAUAUAUGAAGAAGUUGGAUUUUUGUCGUGGAUUCUACUGUAAUCUAAUUUUCUCGUUGUUGAACUUUCCUAUUAUUUUGCACCCUAGGGCUUGGUUAUGAUAUGUUUGAUGCUACGUACACUUUUUGUGGUACGAUUUUUUGUUAUUUUGUACCCUGCAAAUUCGGAUACCGUUUGCUAAGUAUUUGUUGAACACCCUUUAUUUAUGGAAGUUAUGAAUGAAUUGUUCUUGAAUUUCAAUACUUGAUUAUAGUAGAUUGGUGAAUAAAUGUUGCUCAAUUUAAUUUACUGUGAAUUACCAAAAAAAAAAAAUCUAACCAGAUUUUAGAAUUAGUUUUAAAAUUUGUAAUAUUAUAUUUGCCGACUAAAUGCUUAGUUGGUAAAAGAUGCCAACUAUUUAGUUGCUAAUUUUUUUCACAUUUCCCGA